AAACUACAGGAUUCCCCUAGUAACGGCGAGUGAAGCGGGAAUAGCUCAAAUUUAAAAUCUUGUAGGGUUACCUGCACGAAUUGUAGUUUAGAGAAACGUUUUCGGGUCUGGCAUGGGCAUAAGUCCUUUGGAACGAGGCAUCAUAGAGGGUGAGAAUCCCGUUUUUGGCCCAUUGUUCAGUCCUAUGUGAUACGUUUUCCAAGAGUCGGUUUGUUUGGGAAUGCAGACCAAAAUGGGUGGUAAAUACCAUCUAAAGCUAAAUAUUGGCGAGAGACCGAUAGCGAACAAGUACCGUGAGGGAAAGAUGAAAAGAACUUUGAAAAGAGAGUUAAACAGUACGUGAAAUUGUCAAAAGGGAAACGCUUGAAACCAGUAUUGCUGGCAAAUAAUCAGCCUUGCAAUUUGCAAGGUGCACUUGUUUGUUGGCAGGUCAACAUCAGUUUGACUUGGGGUAAAAAGCCAGAAGAAGGUGACCCAGAGCUUGCUUUGGGUGUUAUAGCUUCUGGUCCUGCCUUGGGUUGGACUGAGGACUGCAGCAUUUUUUGGGUACCCAGUCGCCUCCUGAAACCGUAUUGCAGACAGCUUGCUGACUGCAAAAUUGCGUAGGGAGCCCGGUUGGUCUUCCACACCAAUGCUUAGGAUGUUGACGAAAUGGUUUUAAACGACCCGUCUUGAAACACGGACCAAGGAGUCUAACAUAUAUGCGAGUAUUUGGGUGGCAAACCCUUAUGCGAAAUGAAAGUGAACUUA
This 750-nucleotide ribosomal RNA is filed under the name uncultured fungus. RNAcentral's name for it is "LSU rRNA". It matches the Rfam family "Eukaryotic large subunit ribosomal RNA", at positions 62 to 733 of the family's 3401-position model. The record is from RNAcentral. Lineage: Eukaryota; Fungi.